RNAcentral lists this ribosomal RNA (253 nucleotides) under uncultured bacterium. Its description in RNAcentral is "partial 16S ribosomal RNA". It matches the Rfam family "Bacterial small subunit ribosomal RNA", at positions 524 to 776 of the family's 1533-position model. The record is from RNAcentral.
UACGUAGGGUGCAAGCGUUGUCCGGAAUUAUUGGGCGUAAAGAGCUCGUAGGCGGUCUGUCGCGUCUGGUGUGAAAACUCAGGGCUUAACCCUGAGCUUGCAUCGGGUACGGGCAGACUAGAGUGCGGUAGGGGAGACUGGAAUUCCUGGUGUAGCGGUGAAAUGCGCAGAUAUCAGGAGGAACACCGGUGGCGAAGGCGGGCCUCUGGGCCGUAACUGACGCUGAGGAGCGAAAGCAUGGGGAGCGAACAGG